AGGUCUGGCCAACGUUCAUAAUAAGAAGGUACAACCAUGCAAGGUCUUGUCCAGGACCCGUCUCCAACCUCUCUGUUCUGAACGACAGACAAUUCUAGUACGACUAGACACAAGACAAGCCACAAAUUUGACAUACGAACCUGGCGAUCACCUGAGCGUCUUCCCUGUUAAUCCUUCAAACGUUGUUAACCAGAUGAUGUCGUUUCUGGAUCCUUCGGAUAGGUCUGAGAGAAACUUAGUUCAAGUCGAAACAUUUGUGGAUGGCGUCUGGCAGCCAUACAAUCGACUUCCUCCGUGUACCAUGCACACGGCCCUCUCUAGAUAUCUCGACAUUACAACUCCUCCAGCACCUACGAUAUUAGAGCACCUUGCAGCCACGGCAACAGAAAAAUUGGACCAACUUAAGCUUCAAAGAUUGUGUGAG
This is a long non-coding RNA of Limulus polyphemus (Atlantic horseshoe crab), 424 nucleotides long. RefSeq lists it as uncharacterized. The transcript has 3 exons. The record is from RefSeq and is a predicted model, not a curated record. NCBI's taxonomy places the organism in Eukaryota, Metazoa, Arthropoda, Merostomata, Xiphosura, Limulidae.